Molecule: long non-coding RNA, 247 nt
Organism: Solanum stenotomum
Lineage: Eukaryota; Viridiplantae; Streptophyta; Magnoliopsida; Solanales; Solanaceae
Exons: 2
Source: RefSeq, a predicted model, not a curated record
AUAUCACAUAAAUCACCUCAUAUAAGAGAAUUAAUUCCCCUUUGAUCUCCAUGAAUCACAAAGCAUUAUUCUUAGCUUGUUUUGUCAUAAUCCUCUGUCUAUCUUCAACAGCCUCUAGGAGAUUGCCAGGUUAUAGAUGCGGUGGCUAUAAAUUUGGAGAAGAAUCGUGUCCACCACGUAGAUCACUCUUUGUAGUUCAUAUGAGACCAGUAAUUGCACCUGGAAAGCCAAUAUCACCACCUGAUAA